GGGGAUAUAUCUCAGCAGUAGAGUACUUGCCUAGUUUGUGUGAGGCCCUGGGUUCAAUCCCCAAUAUCUUCA
Molecule: transfer RNA, 72 nt
Filed under: Fukomys damarensis (Damara mole-rat)
Lineage: Eukaryota; Metazoa; Chordata; Mammalia; Rodentia; Bathyergidae
Rfam family: tRNA
About the family: Transfer RNA (tRNA) molecules are approximately 80 nucleotides in length. Their secondary structure includes four short double-helical elements and three loops (D, anti-codon, and T loops).
Source: Rfam by way of RNAcentral